GUACACUCCUGCGGGAGGCAGCAGUGGGGAAUUUUACGCAAUGGGGGAAACCCUGACGUAGCGACACCGCGUGAGCGAAGAAGCCCUUUGGGGUGUAAAGCUCUGUCAGCUGGAACGAAAACAAUGACGGUACCAGCAGAGGAAGCAUCGGCUAACUACGUGCCAGCAGCCGCGGUAAGACGUAGGAUGCGAGCGUUGUCCGGAUUUAUUGGGCGUAAAGAGUUCGUAGGUGGUUUGUUAAGUUUGGUGUUAAAGAUCGGGGCUCAACCCUGGGACUGCACUGAAUACUGGCAGACUCGAGUGUGGUAGAGGCUAGUGGAAUUCCCAGUGUAGCGGUGAAAUGCGUAGAUAUUGGGAAGAACACCGGUGGCGUAGGCGACUAGCUGGGCCAUAACUGACGCUGAGGAACGAAAGCCAGGGGAGCGAAUGGGAUUAGAUACCCGAGUAGUCCCA
Molecule: ribosomal RNA, 453 nt
Filed under: uncultured organism
Description: partial 16S ribosomal RNA
Rfam family: Bacterial small subunit ribosomal RNA
Source: RNAcentral